Molecule: ribosomal RNA, 484 nt
Filed under: uncultured bacterium
Lineage: Bacteria
Description: partial 16S ribosomal RNA
Rfam family: Bacterial small subunit ribosomal RNA
Source: RNAcentral
AUUGAACGCUGGCGGCAGGCCUAACACAUGCAAGUCGAGCGGAUGAAGGGAGCUUGCUCCUGGAUUCAGCGGCGGACGGGUGAGUAAUGCCUAGGAAUCCGCCUGGUAGUGGGGGAUAACGUCCGGAAACGGGCGCUAAUACCGCAUACGUCCUGAGGGAGAAAGUGGGGGAUCUUCGGACCUCACGCUAUCAGAUGAGCCUAGGUCGGAUUAGCUAGUUGGUGGGGUAAAGGCCUACCAAGGCGACGAUCCGUAACUGGUCUGAGAGGAUGAUCAGUCACAUGGAAACGGAGACACGGUCCGGACCCCAAGGGGAGGCGGCAGGGGGAAAUUUGGAACAAGGGGCAAAGGCCUGACCCAGCCGUGCCGGGUGGGGAAAGAAGGUGUUGGGUUUAUAAAACUCUUUAAGUUGGGGGAAAGGAAAAUAAGUUAAUCCCUUGUUGUUUUGAGUUACCAAAAAAAAAAACCCCGGACAACUUCGGUC